GACGAACGCUGGCGGCGUGCUUAACACAUGCAAGUCGAACGGAAAGGCCCUGCUUUUGUGGGGUGCUCGAGUGGCGAACGGGUGAGUAACACGUGAGUAACCUGCCCUUGACUUUUGGAUAACUUCAGGAAACUGGGGCUAAUACCGGAUAGGAGCUCCAGCUGCAUGGUGGGGGUUGGAAAGUUUCGGCGGUUGGGGAUGGACUCGCGGCUUAUCAGCUUGUUGGUGGGGUAGUGGCUUACCAAGGCUUUGACGGGUAGCCGGCCUGAGAGGGUGACCGGCCACAUUGGGACUGAGAUACGGCCCAGACUCCUACGGGAGGCAGCAGUGGGGAAUAUUGCACAAUGGGCGGAAGCCUGAUGCAGCAACGCCGCGUGCGGGAUGACGGCCUUCGGGUUGUAAACCGCUUUCGCCUGUGACGAAGCGUGAGUGACGGUAAUGGGUAAAGAAGCACCGGCUAACUACGUG
Molecule: ribosomal RNA, 468 nt
Filed under: uncultured bacterium
Lineage: Bacteria
Description: partial 16S ribosomal RNA
Rfam family: Bacterial small subunit ribosomal RNA
Source: RNAcentral